CUCCCCUUGGAUAAAUGUGCCAUGCCGUGGAAGAUACUAUGAUUUAUUUCCAUGAAAGAAGGUAUGACGUCACAGUGCUGCAUUAUGAUGUCAUUCAGGAUCCCUGAGAUGCCAGCCAAGCGCGAGCUCUUGUUUUGAAUACAAAUAUCCUGCUAAUGAGGAAUUUUGGCAGGGAGAAGAAGGAAGCCACUCCAAAUAAGAUAAAUGUGGCAGACAGAGGGCCAAAUUUUGCAUGGAGAUCUUGAAUAUUCUGCAGGAUGUUCAGCCAAAGCCUGUCUCUUAGUUUUUCAGUAAUGAUAGGUGACAAGGCCUGGGAAGUCCAAAGUGCUUUCCAUAUGUACCUCACCCAUCCGAUGUGUUACCCACACUUGAAGAAAGGAUUGAAAAUAUGCCAAGCCAGGGAGUGUGUUAGAUGUCUGAUGGGAUCCUGUUAUUUUAUUCUGGUCAACACAUUGCUCUGGUUUGUACCCAGUAUUUAGGGCAUCAAUACUAGAACAUAGCAAAAUGCCUUUCACUUAGGUUUUGUUAAAAUGAAAAACCCUUCCAGUGCACCCACUCAUUUCACUCCAGCUCUAAGACAAAAAAAAAAAAACAAAAAAAAAAAAAAAAAAAAAAAAAAAAAAAAAAGGCUGCACAAGCAAACAACUCUCCCCAGACCAAGGGACGAA
Molecule: long non-coding RNA, 668 nt
Filed under: Fukomys damarensis (Damara mole-rat)
Lineage: Eukaryota; Metazoa; Chordata; Mammalia; Rodentia; Bathyergidae
Description: lncRNA (ENSFDAG00000031692.1)
Source: RNAcentral